This 72-nucleotide transfer RNA is filed under the name Paretroplus maculatus. RNAcentral describes it as "tRNA-Thr". It matches the Rfam family "tRNA". From Rfam's summary of the family: Transfer RNA (tRNA) molecules are approximately 80 nucleotides in length. Their secondary structure includes four short double-helical elements and three loops (D, anti-codon, and T loops). Lineage: Eukaryota; Metazoa; Chordata; Actinopteri; Cichliformes; Cichlidae. The record is from RNAcentral.
GCAUUAGUAGCUCAGCGCCAGAGCACCGGCCUUGUAAGCCGGCCGUCGAAGGUUAAACCCCUUCCUAUUGCU